UUGGCACUCGAACCUCUUGGAAUAG
RNAcentral lists this non-coding RNA (25 nucleotides) under Cricetulus griseus (Chinese hamster). The record is from RNAcentral. Lineage: Eukaryota; Metazoa; Chordata; Mammalia; Rodentia; Cricetidae.